RNAcentral lists this ribosomal RNA (760 nucleotides) under Vibrio sp. a27. RNAcentral's name for it is "bacterial SSU rRNA". It matches the Rfam family "Bacterial small subunit ribosomal RNA", at positions 309 to 1062 of the family's 1533-position model. RNAcentral also lists the same sequence under 1 other name. The record is from RNAcentral. Lineage: Bacteria; Pseudomonadati; Pseudomonadota; Gammaproteobacteria; Vibrionales; Vibrionaceae.
CACACUGGACUGAGACACGGUCCAGACUCCUACGGGAGGCAGCAGUGGGGAAUAUUGCACAAUGGGCGCAAGCCUGAUGCAGCCAUGCCGCGUGUGUGAAGAAGGCCUUCGGGUUGUAAAGCACUUUCAGUCGUGAGGAAGGUAGUGUAGUUAAUAGCUGCAUUAUUUGACGUUAGCGACAGAAGAAGCACCGGCUAACUCCGUGCCAGCAGCCGCGGUAAUACGGAGGGUGCGAGCGUUAAUCGGAAUUACUGGGCGUAAAGCGCAUGCAGGUGGUUUGUUAAGUCAGAUGUGAAAGCCCGGGGCUCAACCUCGGAAUUGCAUUUGAAACUGGCAGACUAGAGUACUGUAGAGGGGGGUAGAAUUUCAGGUGUAGCGGUGAAAUGCGUAGAGAUCUGAAGGAAUACCGGUGGCGAAGGCGGCCCCCUGGACAGAUACUGACACUCAGAUGCGAAAGCGUGGGGAGCAAACAGGAUUAGAUACCCUGGUAGUCCACGCCGUAAACGAUGUCUACUUGGAGGUUGUGGCCUUGAGCCGUGGCUUUCGGAGCUAACGCGUUAAGUAGACCGCCUGGGGAGUACGGUCGCAAGAUUAAAACUCAAAUGAAUUGACGGGGGCCCGCACAAGCGGUGGAGCAUGUGGUUUAAUUCGAUGCAACGCGAAGAACCUUACCUACUCUUGACAUCCAGAGAACUUUCCAGAGAUGGAUUGGUGCCUUCGGGAACUCUGAGACAGGUGCUGCAUGGCUGUCGUCAGCUCG